UUUUUUGUAACAAUUAUUCAUAUUCCUCUUUCAGGACUUCAAUAUUUUUCAAUAAUGUUUGAAACACCUUUUCUUCAUUCUUGUAGGGCGACAGGAAGCAGCAAGCCAGGAGGCAAAUGAAGGACAACCCCCGCGGGAUCAGGAUGAGGCUGCAACCACAUCUGGUGGUGGCUUGGACAGGCAGACGACACAGAUGGUUAUCAGUGAAAUAUGGGCAUGCAGAGAGGAAGUUGAGGAGAUCCAUCUUGCCAACCGGGAAAUAAAAAAUCGGACCAGGAGGGUUGAAAAUAAACUUAAAAAUUUGUUGGACAUUUUGGGGAGAGUGUAAAUGAUUUUUGGAGUUAGGAUGGUCAAAAAAAAGUACAAAGUGAUUUGGUUAUUUUUGAUAAUCCCAAAAGAAAAAAAAAAAUAUAUA
Long non-coding RNA from Rana temporaria (common frog), 415 nucleotides. RefSeq lists it as uncharacterized. The record is from RefSeq and is a predicted model, not a curated record. NCBI's taxonomy places the organism in Eukaryota, Metazoa, Chordata, Amphibia, Anura, Ranidae. The transcript is spliced from 2 exons.